GCGGGCGUGGUGUAGCCCGGUCCAACACGCCUCCCUGUCACGGAGGAGAUCGCCGGUUCAAAUCCGGUCGCCCGCGCAA
RNAcentral lists this transfer RNA (79 nucleotides) under Candidatus Wolfebacteria bacterium. RNAcentral describes it as "tRNA-Asp". It matches the Rfam family "tRNA". Rfam says of the family: Transfer RNA (tRNA) molecules are approximately 80 nucleotides in length. Their secondary structure includes four short double-helical elements and three loops (D, anti-codon, and T loops). Lineage: Bacteria; Candidatus Wolfeibacteriota. The record is from RNAcentral.